AGUGAACGCUGGCGGUAGGCCUAACACAUGCAAGUCGAACGGCAGCACAGUAAGAGCUUGCUCUUACGGGUGGCGAGUGGCGGACGGGUGAGGAAUACAUCGGAAUCUACUUUUUCGUGGGGGAUAACGUAGGGAAACUUACGCUAAUACCGCAUACGACCUACGGGUGAAAGCAGGGGAUCUUCGGACCUUGCGCGAUUGAAUUAGCCGAUGUCGGAUUAGCUAGUUGGCGGGGUAAAGGCCCACCAAGGCGACGAUCCGUAGCUGGUCUGAGAGGAUGAUCAGCCACACUGGAACUGGAACACGGUCCAGACUCCUACGGGAGGCAGCAGUGGGGAAUAUUGGACAAUGGGCGCAAGCCUGAUCCAGCCAUACCGCGUGGGUGAAGAAGGCCUUCGGGUUGUAAAGCCCUUUUGUUGGGAAAGAAAAGCAGCAGGUUAAUACCCCGCUGUUCUGACGGUACCCAAAGAAUAAGCACCGGCUAACUUCGUG
RNAcentral lists this ribosomal RNA (492 nucleotides) under uncultured bacterium. RNAcentral describes it as "partial 16S ribosomal RNA". It matches the Rfam family "Bacterial small subunit ribosomal RNA", at positions 29 to 507 of the family's 1533-position model. The record is from RNAcentral.